Maniola jurtina (meadow brown) is the source of this 4012-nucleotide long non-coding RNA. RefSeq lists it as uncharacterized. The transcript is spliced from 2 exons. NCBI's taxonomy places the organism in Eukaryota, Metazoa, Arthropoda, Insecta, Lepidoptera, Nymphalidae. The record is from RefSeq and is a predicted model, not a curated record.
GUACCCUAUAUUUGAUAAUCUUUUUUUUUGACAUAGCACCCCUGUUUUACAUAAAGAUGUGCAAACUAGUCUAUCGUGACUCGUGUUGCUCUGAGCGCACUUCGAUUGGUUGAUUGUACGCUAAUGUGUUUGGCCUUGUGACACACCAUAUCACAGUAAUAUGUCAACGUUUUUAGAAUGUUUUGUAUUGAUAAUGGAGAUAGUGUUUGACGGAUGUCAACGUUUAUCGCCUGUAAUUUAAUAUGGUCUAUUAAAUGAAAUUUUACAUUUGUUAAACUUUAAAGAUUAUACAUUUCAAUCUUACACCAGUAUUUGGCGCAUUUCUUAGCAUGGUAGGUAGUAGGCACCUAAUUUGAUCGCUUACUUCAGCAUCACUCAUCAGCUAUAAUUUCUUAUACGAAUUUUCUGUUACGGUAUACUGAAAAAAUUAGUUGUGUGCUCAACGUGCGAUCACUAGUAUACCUACUUACUUGUAGUUACCGAAUAUACGUCCGGCAGUGAUUUAAUAUACAAAAAAUAAAAUAAAUGAUCUUUUAUACUAAUAAACUCAAUUUGACGCAUAAAUGCACAAAAUUUUCUAUGGUGCACCUCAUCUGAUAUAGUUGAUCAUUUCAUGACUUUUUUACAAUUCAUGACUUUUCUUGAUGAUUUUAUCAUAUUUUUAAGAACAAUUUUAUUAUUAUAUUAUAUUAGAUUUAUAAUUAGGAUGAAAAUUGACUAAACGUAACUUAAGCAGGAUUGUAUUUUGAUAAAAUAGCUAUUUAUUAGAGUUUUUUUAAAACUGACUUUUCACCAGUAAUAAGUGUGCUACAUUUGAACAGUAACGUGAUAAUAUACAGUGUAUUUAAAUAAGAAUAAUAUUUCUAGAAAAUUGAACUUUUUUUUGGAGAUUUCUAUUUAUGUAAGUAUUCCUAUUUAACAGUGUGGUAUAUUUUAACAGCAUAUUAUAUGCAGUAUACUUAAGUGUAUUUAAAUAAGAAUAUUUUAAAGUAAGUUUUUCGUCAGAGAUUUCUAUUUAUGUAGGUAGACAAAUAUAAAGCCAUUCUAACUUGGGAUUGGUGACGUCUCAAAUUAACCCAACGGUAAGAAAGUCUAGUCUGCCUUGUUGAGCCGACAUGGCAAAUGAUUAAUUUUAUUUUAUUUAUAUCUACCUUUUCAAUUUUUGUGUUUAAAUUUUGAUUCACAUUCCACCGUGCCACAGGCGGGUCGAGCCCGUGCCGUGUCGAUAUAUGUACUCAUAUUAUGAGCUACGUAACGAGACUGUGGCCCGGUUUCGACCUACCGCUUAGGUUAGGUUCCAAAGCAGGGUACUCACCUAGCCGUAUAGCAUGUAACGUAUCUGAUACUGUAUCAACCUGCAAGCCGCCUUUGUGUUCGCAGUGAUACCGCCACUCGGCGGGUCACUGCGCUCCACGCGUGAGUGGCUCGCAGCGGGCUCAUGCCUACGUACUCGAUUCAGUACCAGAUACGUUACAUGCUAUAUGGCUAGGUGAGUACCCUGCUAUAUGGGCAGCCAAGGAGCUACGUAACAAGACUGUGGCCCGGUUUCCACCUAAGGCUUAGAUUAGGUUCUAAGCGGAGCGCUGGGGAGCUAAUGUGUUCAGUCGACCAAUCAUAUCAGAUUUUUAAGAUGACGUGAUAAUUUUUUUACAUCUGCAUCAUUAAGAAUCUGAUAAGUCGACUGAACACAUCUCUGGUCCGAAUUAAGUGGGAACCGGGUUUCAUGGGAGACCGAAGCACAACGUGGCUCUGACACCGUGUAAUGUGAAUCAUCCUUAAUCAAGAAUUACUGCGUUAUUAGAUAAUUUUUAUUAGAAAUAAGUUUCAAAUUAGUGUAGUAGACAUUAAGUCUAAAUCUUAGGGAUUAUUGGUAAUAUCGGGCGUAAGGCGGGUAUACAUUGACAGACAUGAUCCGAACGACACGCUAUUCAAAAGUACUCGUAAAAGUUUAAUUAAAUAAAAAUAUUUUUAUUUGUUUAUUUAUUUAUGGAUCUUCCAACUUACAUAUCUGAUCUAUUUAUUGAAGCUUCUAAAAGGCUGCCGUGUUUCCACGGCCGCUGCCUAUACAUUUUCUUUUUUGAAAACAUAGCAUGGUAUGUGUAUGGCUUUAAAUAGAAGCUUAUUUCGUAUGCUGGUCUAAUUGUACAUUUUUAACAAUUUAAUUAUAUACACUAUAGUAUAUACCCGCCCUUAAACUGAUUCAAAAAAAUAUAUUAUUAGGUAUCUAGAUUUUUCAUGUUAGACUAGCAAUGAAGAUUACACAUCCUGUGAAGGAUUAGAAUUCUUAUUUAAAUAAAAUAUCGUAAAAUCUUUAGUUUAAUCAUUUGUAACCCACAUACUUAGGGUAAGGUCAAGUGUCCACCAUACGAAGUGGCAAUAAAACUUGCAGAUAAUAGUUCUGGCAAGUCACAUGCACUAAUAAAACACUAACUUGCAACAUGUCCAUUUUAGCUUAGUUUCAGCAGGUGAUACUUGUAUAAUUAAAGUGAUAUGACAGUGACAGCGUCUUCUGAAAGUUUUAAUGCUAGUGGAUACUUAGGGUAAUUUUAGUUGGUAUGGAGUGGUGAUAUUCUGUUCGAUAUAUUCACAUUCAAUCACAAUUUCUUAAAUGAUAAAAAAGAAAGUAAUGUAAUCCUGACAGAAAAAUCUAAAAUACCUGAAAAUUAUCAGUUACAAUGUCUUCUUUUACUUGAGUUUUGGGGAAAUAAAUACACUAGUUAGAUUGUGCAAAAUGAACUUUUAUUUUCCAUUAAGAGUUGAAAAAUACUAGCAUAAUAUGAAUAUUACGUAUUUGAUAAAUGGUUCAAGAAUUCAAAUAAGUUACCACCGCUAAAUGCAAAUUUUUCCGUUUUCUAAUUUAUUAGGCUUUUUUAAUGGUACCUACCUUGUGGUAUGCUCACCUUAACAGUUAAGCUAAGAUUCAGUUAUAUUAAUGGUAUUGUGUGGUUAAUUUCAAGCUGCUGCUUUGAGCAAAUGUAAAUUCGCGAUAGCGCGGGUCACGUGUGGGUGUGUGGGGUGUCCCCCUGCCUUAUACGCCGAUUGCCAUGUCGACUUGUCGCGAACUAAACAUCCUUAUUCCUGUUAAAUACUAAGGCACGUCCACACCGCUAACCAUAAAUUCUCUAAUUAUUUUCGCCCAAUACGACCUAUAACGGAAGUUUUAUCUGGUGUGGACGUGACUUUAUAUUACUUAAGUUAGGUACAUUAAUAGGCGAACAAAACGGUCGGUGUGAUGAAAUAUUACAGCAGCAAAAAACUGAAAGAAAGCUCUUGAAUUACAUAAUUAUGCCAAUUUGAUCGAAAUCACGAACUUUGGACUCAAUUUUGGCAUAGUCUUACUUGAAGAUAAGUUCAGAUUUGUAUUUAGUGAGUCAAAAACAUGUGGUUUAAAAAAAAAGUAUUUUUAGCAGAAAUGUAAUUAGGUAACCGUUUUGCUCGCCGGUUUCCAAUAUAUUAAUGUCGCCGCUAGGUACCAUGAUUACUGAUCUAUACUUUUAUUUUUACUAUUUAUCUGCUAUGAUAACCCACGGUUUAUCUAUUUUCUAUUUAAAGUCUGUUCAUCUUAUUAUGCCAGAUUUAUUGCCGUAAAAAUUAAAAAUUAAGUUUCAAAGAUUUUAGUCUGGACAAGUUAUGAAACUAUGUUAGAAAAAUAAAUAGGUAAGUACAAAUAAGUUAGUAGCAACCGAUACUUUUUAUGUUUAUGUGGAGUCGCAAAUAAGAUUUUAAUGGCAUCUAUGCUCAUUGCUUGUACUUGCUCAAAAACAGAAUUCAUAGUUUUAUUAACAUUCCACAUUAUAAUUAUAUGAAAACACAGCAGAAGCUUUUAGCUUUAGAAGUUUUUUAGAAGAAGAGUUUAGCUAAGUUUUACUUUUUACUACUUAGAGAUUAUUGAGAUAGUAUGUCACACAUAUUUUACACGAGAAAAGAUAUUUUUUUAGAAAUUGAAAUACUUAGUUAUCUUUGUAUAAAUACCUAGAAUCGUUAGUCUUUUACCUACCGCUCGUCCUUUUAA